UCCCUCCUUCAUCCUCACUUAAUAGCUUUUGAAAUUACUAAGAUAACAACUGUCCCUCCUGCGGGGUGGGUAACAGCUUAAACAGGAAGUAGAAGGAACUGUUCGCACAGGUUCGGGACGUCUGAACGCUUUCUUCAGGGCUUGCUCUUUCCCUGUGACCUCUGCUUUUCUGUCCCUGCCUCCCCUCUGGAAGCGUUCUGGGCUGAGCCCAGAGCCUCAGUGUGGCCAGCGUGUGAUUACAGAGGCAUAAUUCACCUUGGGGUGGGGGUGGGGGGGCUUCUGCAGAUGAGUGAGUUGAAGGAGGCCGUUUUUGUUUCCCCGCUAGCAAAUUGCCAUCUCUAAUGAACGUUUUAGGGAGGCAGUUUCUCCACCAUCCCCCUGACGGGUGCCGACCUGUAAUUAAAAGGAGAGAAGAACUUGAUUCCCCAUGCGUGCACCUGGGCCCUUUGUGGUGUCUCUUAGCAAUAUGCCACGAGGACCGACCGGCAGGUGAUGGAUUUCUAAAGCAGAAAAUCAAGCUUCUUCACAAUAGAAGCUUACAGUUUUAGAAAUCGGGUGGUUACAAGCACUGUCAUUUUGCCGACUUUGGCAGGCUGCAGGGAACCCAGUAGCCACGCUGACCGAGGCGCAAAACAUAGAGAGUCAGCUUUCCUUCUUAAUUACUUUUAAACCACGUUAGCUCCUUUUUAGGGUCAGAACAACAGCUCUCAUGCUUCAUGGCGGUGGCAUUCUUGGUGCAAUAAAAUAAUAUUCUUAUGUUGCCUUGGCAUAAAAUAGAACUUGUUGUUAAUGGACGAAAAAGUGAGCAAGUGUGUAGGCAGCAUCCCCGCCUGGUCGCCUCUUACUUUAGUAAAUUGUACUGGUUGUGCACUUGGAACUUUUUGAAUGUAUUAAACUUCCUAUACUGCGUGGGUCACUAUUUCACAGCUAGGUAAGUCCCUUAACUGGUAAGGUGCAGCUUUCUCAAUAGCAUUUUAGACUAAGGUCAAGAUACAAAAAUAAUCUCUAUCUUCUAUUCAGUUGUCACCAGUUCAUGAAAAUACUGCCAGAGGACUGGAAGACACAAUUUUCUCAUGUUUUAUGACACAGGCUCCCCAGGGCCCCUGGGCCUAAUUUGUUCUUAAUAAUUUUCAAAAGGGACUCAGGACUCUGUCCUUUAGCUCACCAUCACUGUCUGGACUGCCUUAAAGAGAGCUGCAGUUUGAUGCAGACACUGGGAGUUUCUAGGCAAUGGAAAGUUCUGGAAAGUAGGUCAUUUUCCCUCAGUGGUGGGUAUGGUGUAAGUGUUAGGUGUUUUUGUGUGUGUGUGUGUGUGUGUGUGUGUGGUGUGGUGUUGAAGUCUUUCAGUUUCCCCCAGGCUUGUCUCCAAAGCCCAUGCCUUGAAUGCAGUUUGUAAUAAGUAGAGGCAGCCCCUGUCUGGAAAUGCUGGGCAUCUCUGCUGGAGUUAGAGCUCUUGUUCCAGGCCUCAGGGCAUAAAGACAGAGGGUGGUUUGCUGGCUUGCCCCGGAGCCCCUGGGCCUUUGCACACUGACGUUGGCACAGCUGCCUUUAUCUGUGUGCAGAAUCUUGCCUCCAGCCUUCCACAGAGUGGUGAGAGGGAGUCAGGGAGCAGUGGGAGGAGGGAGAUGACUCAGCCUCUGCUAAAUGUCAGGCACUGUGCUGGGUGCUGUUACCACAUGUCACUGCAUCAACACCAUGGCCUGGAAAAGAAAGCAUUUUGUAGAUGAGGCAGCAAAGCACUUUGGAGCUCAGAUGCUGGAAGCCAGAUCCCCCAGGUUUGAGUUAGAACUUUGUCACCUUCAAAGUAUCCGACUACCUGCUCCCUUGGUUUCCCUGUUUGUAAGGGGGGGGGAUAAUAACAGGACCCCACUCAAUUGUGUUGUUGUGAUAAAUGCUUAUAGAACUGUAAGGAAGAGCUUCUGCCAGACAGUAUGGGAUAAAUGCUUGUGCAGGGGAAUAGAAAAGCAGGUCAACAAUGAGCAUGCCCAGUGCACAGACUUAGCGGGGUUAGGCUUUGAACUCGGAUCUGCUGGUGUAAGAGAGGUGAUCUUUGCUUUCGUUUCUUCCCAGUUUCAUCGGAGUUGGUGUUGCGAGUCCAUGCUCUUCGUUCCUCCUCACCUCACCUCAUCGGGGUGGGCUUGUGGGUCUGGCUCUGGUUUUCCUAUUCUCCCUGGUGGAGACGUCCUACCCCUUUUCUCUUGAACAGAGGUUUAAGCUGGUCCAUGCAGGCAGGCGAUAAGGACUCCUUUCUCCCAAAGACUUGGGGUUGAACUGACAUUUUACUUGCGUGGUCACACUUUCAGGAUAGAAUAAGCGAUCCUUUGUUGUUCCCUCUCGCUGUUUUGUGUUCUUUUCUUCCCUCAGAAAUGGAGGCGUCUUGUGGGCAGCUUCUAUGUCCUGUAGUUUGCAUGGCUCUCACCCCGAGUGAUGGACUCGACUGAGCACCUAAGGCAGCAGCUCUUGGUAUUUGAGUUGAGGAAGCAAAGAACCACAUUCAGGGGCAUUUUUCUGUCUCUACACAUAAGAUGCCACCGGAGAGCGUUUUUCCUCUUCCUGGUGGCAGGAGCAGGAAUUGAUAGUCUGGAUUUUGAGAACUUUGACAGGUCUUUGACUUCUGGACAGUCUGCUUGGGUUUUCAGUUCUAAGCUGGGUCCCUCUGUCUUGGAUCUCCAACAUGGUGGAGUGGGCUUGAACCUGUGUGUCUUAAUGCCAGCUUUCCUUGCUUACACUCUUAAGAAAUGCUGCUAAAGAUGUAGAAUGUGUUUACAAAGUCUUGAAGUCUGACCACGAGGAACAUAACAUUUGGUCUCCAGUAAGGAAAACAUGGAAGGGAUUUGAUUGCUUUUACCCCAGUCCCUCCUAACUCACCCCCACUGGUCCAGUUGCUUUUGUAUGGAAGUUUUCACUUAUGUUAAAAUUUGCAUAAACGGUGACUUUUUCUCUCCCCCUAAGGAUGCAAGGUCGUUAAGGCAACACAACACUAUUAAUAGAAUGUGGAUGUGUGUGGUUUAUUUUUGUUUUCAAAAUGGAAAUGUUUCUUUGGGGUUUUGGCAUGCUCUUUGAUAUGCUGAAAGAUGAGAAAACACCAUUUGGGAAACUCAGCCCUUUUACCAUAUUAGGAAAUUUCCAGUGCCUCAGAUUUCACAUUUAAUGUUUUAAUUGCCUGGUUUGGUCAUUGAAAAAUGUCAAGCCUCUCUCUUUCACAUUUAGAGUUAUCACCACCGUUUCCCCCUCUCCAGUGGUGGGCUGUUGCUGGCUUCUGCUUCCUGCCCCAGCCCUGGCAUGGACUGAGUGUUUGCUCUGAGAAAGCAGUUCAUCGCAUGUCAUUUUAAAGGAGCAUCAUGUUGACUUCGGAUAUAGUGGGCUUUCUCUUCUCUGUGAUACCACACAUGCAGUUGUUUUCCUGUGUUUGAAACUACCCUAAACGUGCACUUGAAAUUGGGUUGCACUUUUAAAAUGUUUGAGUUCCUUCGUGAAUGGAGGGUACCACUCUUCCAUAAAGUACAGAAGAAAUCCAAGACCAUGUUACCAUCUUGAUCUGAGGGCAGCAUCGAAGAGGCAGCCGUGUACUAAAGAGAGAGAGAUGGUGCUGGUGGUGAAGGGGGUGUUGGUGGGAGGAGAGUAAGAAGGGAGGAAAGAGACGAGUUAAGGUAUUCCCUGGAAUUUAGGCUUUCUAGGGACAUCAAGAUCCAGAGUAAAGGAGACAUUUAUUCUUCUGCCUUCUCCGGAAAAAACAAUGUGGAAAGGACUUCUAAAAUUCCCUUCUCGUAGAUAAUGACAUGUGAGGGGGACAAUCCUAUACAUCAUCCUUAGGGUCGUGCAUAGUCUCAGGUUUAGAAAGGAGAUGUCCUCACAGCUGGGGAUUAAGGCAGCUUGGAGGGGGAACUAUUUUUCACUUCCUAUGCACAGCUCUCUCCAAGUGUCGUUUGUGCAUAAAAUGUUUAUUCGGUUUUUCAAUACCUAAAUAUACUUUUGAAUUAUUUUGUAAUUCACACUCAUUGUAGAAAACUUGGAAAAUAGAGAAAACGCCUCCAAAUGAAAAUAAAAACACCUGAUAGUUGUAUAACAUAGAAAGAAUUUGGAUUUAUUGCCUUUCAGUAUUUCUGUGUGCUUAUGUGUAUGUGCAUUUUUAUGUAAGUGGGCUCAACUUUGUGGAACAUUUUGAAUCCUGACUUUUUUCUGUAACAGUAACAUAAACAUGAUAUUUAAUGGUCAAGUUGUAAUUCUUGAUGUGGCUCUAUCUCAACUUAAUUUCACAAUCUCCCUGUAGGUUUUUCUGCUGUGCUGAUUGUGUUGGUGGUAGUUUAUUGUGUUAGGUAAGCAGUGUGCGUUAAAGAGCAUCUUUGAGCAUGAACGUUUUUUCCAUCUUCCUGAUGGUUUCAUCAAGUUAGCAUCCUUUAUGGGAACUACUGUGCCUUUUAAAGGACCACUGUACAUAUUGCUAGAUUGCUUCCCAAGAAAGAUGUAUCUUUCCAGCUCUAAUAUUUCAGAUUAUGCUUCUUGCUGCAGUUGAGUCAAUACUGACCUCUUUUUUUUUUUUAAAGACUUCCCUAAUCAGGAAAAAAUAAUGUAUUAUCUGUUACAUUUAAUUCCCAUCCACACAUUUAAAAUUUAACUUUUUUAUGGUGAUAAAUGCUUGGUAACAUCAUUUUUCUUCCCUUUAGUUUCUUUUCCUUUCAUUUUGCUUCUCCUCUUCUCUCACUCUACCUAAAUUCCUUUCAAACUUUUCUCUCCUUUUCUAUGGAAUCUCUUUCUACUUUUCAGUCUACUUUUGCAAAUCCAUCCCCUUCCACCAUCCCAACCAGUCUCGCUUUAGCAAGAUUUCUCUGCUAAUCCCACCCACACAUCUGGCAAAUUUCACUUCCAUCUCUGUACAGGUUUCCACCCCUGGACCUGGUAUCCCAGGCCUUUCUCCUAUCCUUUAAGACAGCAGGUUCUGUCUGAGAAAGUGCCCCUGCCCCUGACUACAUUAGCAUGUAGCAAUCUCCUCUCCAUCUGUCUUGCAGUGCUCAUUUGGCGCUUGUCACAUGCUAAUUUAUAUCUGUGGUUAAAUCGUCAUAUGUGUUUCAUCGCCCUGUGUGGACUGCCAAGCCUUGCAAGCACUGAUGCUGGUUAGUACUCUCUGAAGUCCCUCCCCACCUUGUGUGCCCCAAACAUGUACCUAGAACAGUUCCCAAAUCCUGGAAGAACUGAGUGCUCAGCAAAAUGUUGUUUGAUCACCCUGGUGGUUCUUUUUCCAUCUGGUCUCCAUUUCCUUUCUUCUUGACUUUCUCAUUCAGUGAUAGUCACUUGGUAUAUUCAUUUUGGAAGCCGGGUUCCUCACUUGCCCCCCAUUUUGAAACAUUACCCUGUGCCCUCUUCAUAAUAUGUCAUGUUCAACCACCAUAGAAUCUUUGAGCCUUCAGAAAUUGAUUAUCUCAUUUUCUCAUAUCAUUUCUCAUUGUAUGGUUUUGUUUUCUUGGCAGACUAGUCAAUCUUACUUUCCUUUCAUACACUUGCUACCACUCCUCUUCUCUGCCAACCCCUCAUGUUUUAUUAUAACCCAGACUUGGCUCCUCUAAGGUAUGGGGUUCUCCCCACAUUCUAGAUAGGGGACCAGGUGUACAUGUGUGAAGAAUUUGGAGAUAAAGCACUGAGGAAUGACAUAGGCACUCUUAAUGCACUAGGGAGAGACCUGGAGAAGGAUGGAUGUGAGCUGGUUUACUCAAAGGCAUUAUAGAUACAGGUGGGACUUAUGAAGGUUGAAGAAUGGGUGAGAUUUACAUGGGACACAGGGAAAGAGAGGGUAUUUAAGAAUUGAAACAAGAAUAAACGGAGUCCCAGGAACUGCUGGUGGUAGUAUUGGUGGUGGUAUUUGGUAGGCAGGAACCUGGUAUGUUAGUGGGAAAAGGGGGUAAUAAGGACACUUAGGCUCAAAAUCGACAAGAGGGGGACAUAGAGAGAAAUCAUUCCGUGCUCAGGUGUGGAAGCCUACCAUGAAUACCUAGAUGAUCUCGCUAGACCUGUUACACGUUUUUUCUUUAGAUUCCUCCCUGCUGCUGCCCCUCCUUUCUGCUCUUUUUUUUUUAAGCCACCUCCUAGAAAUGCCAUCAUUUAUAUUUAUUGAAAUUUUCAUGAAUUUCCCAAACAUUGUCUCAUUUAAUGCCUCUAAUAAUCUUGGGCAGGUGCUAUUACCCUGAUUUAAACGUAGGAACUGGAGGAUCACUGAGAUUAAGACAUGGUCCUGGAGUUCCCAUCAUGGCUCAGCAGUAAUGAAUCCGACUAGUAUCCAUGAGGACAUGGGUUCAAUCCCUGUCCUCGCUCAGUGGGUUAAGGAUACAGCCUUACCGUGAGCUGUGGUGUAGGUUGCAGACACAGCUCAGAUCCCACAUUGCUGUGGCUGUGGUGUAUGCCGGCAGCUGCAGCUCUAAUUUGACCCCUAGCCUGGGAACUUUCAUAUNNNNNNNNNNNNNNNNNNNNNNNNNNNNNNNNNNNAAAAAAAAAAAAAAAAAUACAGAGGAAUGCUCCUGAAGAGAGUUCCCAUUGUGGCCUGGCAAUAAUGAACCCGACUAGUAUCCAUGAGGACAUGGGUUCAAUCCCUGACCUCACUCGUUGGAUAAAGGAUCCAGUGUUGCUGUGAGCUGUGGUGUAGGUCGAAGACAAGGCUUGGAUCCUGUGUUGCUGUGUGGCUGUGGCAUAGGCCAGAGGCUAUAGCUCCAAUU
RNAcentral lists this long non-coding RNA (6701 nucleotides) under Sus scrofa (pig). RNAcentral describes it as "lncRNA (ENSSSCG00050028941.1)". The record is from RNAcentral. Lineage: Eukaryota; Metazoa; Chordata; Mammalia; Artiodactyla; Suidae.